CCUACGGGUGGCAGCAGUGAGGAAUAUUGGUCAAUGGACGCAAGUCUGAACCAGCCAUGCCGCGUGCAGGAAGACGGCCCUAUGAGUUGUAAACUGCUUUUGUACGAGGGUAAACUCAGAUACGCGUACCUUUCUGUAUGUAUCAUACGAAUAAGGAUCGGCUAACUCCGUGCCAGCAGCCGCGGUAAUACGGAGGAUUCGAGCGUUAUCCGGAUUUAUUGGGUUUAAAGGGUGCGUAGGCGGUCGGAUAAGUUAGAGGUGAAAUCCCGAGGCUCAACUUCGGAAUUGCCUCUGAUACUGUUCGGCUAGAGAGUAGUUGAGGUAGGCGGAAUGUAUGGUGUAGCGGUGAAAUGCUUAGAGAUCAUGCAGAACACCGAUUGCGAAGGCAGCUUACGAAGGUACUACUGACGUUGAGGCACGAAAGCGUGGGGAGCAAACAGGAUUAGAUACCCCAGUAGUC
This 460-nucleotide ribosomal RNA is filed under the name uncultured bacterium. RNAcentral describes it as "partial 16S ribosomal RNA". It matches the Rfam family "Bacterial small subunit ribosomal RNA", at positions 338 to 795 of the family's 1533-position model. The record is from RNAcentral.